CCAUCCUAGGACCCAACGCUGGUUCACCUGUACUUCCGUUCAGUACUGCACGGGGAGUGGUGCACUCCACUUGUGAUAUUUACACUCAGCUCCAGUUCUCCUUUUAGUACCUUGAUGCUGGUAUUGAUGUUGCCACCAACUCUUUUAGGCACAUUGAAAACCAAUCAAAAGACUGUCAAUUUUGUCUUGUAAAAAAGCAGUGCACUCUUCCAGGGCCCCUUUCCCCGGCAGAGUGACUUAUUAAACCGGAAACUCUAGUCAGACAGUUGCUAAUUUUUUUUUCUUCAUUUUGUUGCUGCUGUUGCUGCUUAUCAAUUUCAUUACACUGAACCCUACCUGCCUGUGUGCAGUUGGCAGUACAUCCACUGCCAGAAUCUCUGACGUAUGGUAUCCUGGCUCAAAAUGCUCUGCCCCCCUGCCCCGGGGGUCACCAAUGUUCUCAUGCAGAGAGCUCAUUUCAAUCAAGAACCCUUAUCUGUGAUCAACGAGCAACUUAGAGCAAGUCCGAGCAUGAUAGUCAUCCGUUCCUUCAGCCUUCUGUCACAGGCAACAGGAAUUUUCAUGUCCCAGUGCCUUUCUUGAAGUGAUGUGUUUUAGGGGGACCACUCUGAUGGACUGGCCGUCUGAUGCUGGAAAUCCCACACCCCUACAAGCAACUGUCAUCAUAC
RNAcentral lists this long non-coding RNA (668 nucleotides) under Acanthaster planci (crown-of-thorns starfish). RNAcentral's name for it is "uncharacterized LOC110990919, transcript variant X1". Lineage: Eukaryota; Metazoa; Echinodermata; Asteroidea; Valvatida; Acanthasteridae. The record is from RNAcentral.